This 80-nucleotide small RNA is filed under the name Polaromonas naphthalenivorans CJ2. RNAcentral describes it as "int-alpA RNA". It matches the Rfam family "int-alpA RNA". Rfam says of the family: Acidobacteria (1 example), Planctomycetes (1 example), Proteobacteria. Lineage: Bacteria; Pseudomonadati; Pseudomonadota; Betaproteobacteria; Burkholderiales; Comamonadaceae. The record is from Rfam by way of RNAcentral.
GCCACGCCUAGCUAUCGGCUGAUCCCCGAUGGUGAAAACCGGGACACCCUGACCUGGCGGCGCUGGCUUUCUUAUCAGAG